UGCCCGCCGUUGUCCCCGUCGCCGUCGCCCCACCGCCGCGGGGUCGAGGCGACGACGAGGAGCUCGGCGAUAGGUGCGGUGAAUAAGAGGGAGAGUGGGAGCGGGACGUGGAGGCCGCUGCUGGCGCCGGGGACGGCGUUGCCGGGCGGGAGCUUCUCCUGUCGGCUCAAGACCUCGGCCGCCGAGGAGGACGACGACGGCGCGGCCCCGGCAAGGGUCGCCCUCAAGCUCGCCUCCCUUACCGCGCUGCUCUGGCUCCCCGCCCUCGUUGGUCUUCUCAUCGGCUGCCCCACCUUGACGACCAUCGGAUUCGCCGCUGCCUCCUCCUCCACACUCCGCCUCGCCGACCACCAGAUUCGCCGCCGCCUCCUCCUCCUGCUCCACCACGUGGCUGCCUUCUCCUCUCUCUCUCUCUCUCUCCUUCUCCUCCUCCAAGUUACCAGGUACCAGGCAGUAAAAGUGGACAAAACACUUGGUACUGCUGUCAUAGGAGUUCUAGAGGCCUUCAAGAGCAUGGUUUCUGGUCAGCACGGUAGAUUUCAUAGAGUUGUGGUGCAGAACAUUCUGAAAAACCUAUGUGCCUAUGCCAAACCAGACAGUGACUGCCAAUACUCCAUGCAGAAAUUUUCUGUAGACAACAUCUCGAUGGCACUUAGAACUAUGUAUCAGACAGACAAUCUUAUAGGGGAGGACAUGGAGGCCUUUCUUGGCCUUGUUUUGCAGUUCAGCAAACUUCUCUGUGAGACCGAUUUCAUCGAGGCUGUCAACGGAAAUGGAAUCGGCUUAAGGAAUUUUGUACAGAAGCUGAAAUUAAUCCUGAAGCAAGCAAAUUCACAUAGAACUGAAGCAAGCGUACACCCUGGAAUCAGAAGAUCCGCAAUUGAGCAGGUCAUAUGGAUGGCGCAACUGAAGCCUGAACCUCACUGCAUCGACCAUUUCAUCGACUGCUAA
This 951-nucleotide long non-coding RNA is filed under the name Oryza sativa tropical japonica subgroup. Its description in RNAcentral is "lncRNA OsCMeo_10g0016340". Lineage: Eukaryota; Viridiplantae; Streptophyta; Magnoliopsida; Poales; Poaceae. The record is from RNAcentral.